UGCAUAUUCAAAAAGCGGAGGAAAAGAAACCAACAGGGUGCCUAGUAACGGCGAGUGAAGCGGCAACAGCUCAAAUUUGAAAUCUGGCUCUUUCAGAGUCCGAGUUGUAAUUUGCAGAGGGCGCUUUGGCUUUGGCAGCGGUCCAAGUUCCUUGGAACAGGACGUCACAGAGGGUGAGAAUCCCGUACGUGGUCGCUAGCUAUUGCCGUGUAAAGCCCCUUCGACGAGUCGAGUUGUUUGGGAAUGCAGCUCUAAAUGGGAGGUAAAUUUCUUCUAAAGCUAAAUAUUGGCCAGAGACCGAUAGCGCACAAGUAGAGUGAUCGAAAGAUGAAAAGCACUUUGGAAAGAGAGUCAAACAGCACGUGAAAUUGUUGAAAGGGAAGCGCUUGCAGCCAGACUUGCUUGCAGUUGCUCAUCCGGGCUUUUGCCCGGUGCACUCUUCUGCAGGCAGGCCAGCAUCAGUUUGGGCGGUGGGAUAAAGGUCUCUGUCAUGUACCUCUCUUCGGGGAGGCCUUAUAGGGGAGGCGACAUACCACCAGCCUAGACUGAGGUCCGCGCAUCUGCUAGGAUGCUGGCGUAAUGGCUGUAAGCGGCCCGUCUUG
RNAcentral lists this ribosomal RNA (602 nucleotides) under Exserohilum rostratum. RNAcentral's name for it is "partial large subunit ribosomal RNA". It matches the Rfam family "Eukaryotic large subunit ribosomal RNA", at positions 37 to 656 of the family's 3401-position model. Lineage: Eukaryota; Fungi; Ascomycota; Dothideomycetes; Pleosporales; Pleosporaceae. The record is from RNAcentral.